UACGGAGGGUGCAAGCGUUUAAUCGGAAUUACUGGGCGUAAAGAGUGCGUAGGUGGUUGGGUAAGUUAUGUGUGAAAUCCCUGGGCUUAACCUGGGCAGGUCAUAUAAUACUGCUUAACUCGAGUAUGGGAGAGGGUAGUGGAAUUUCCGGUGUAGCGGUGAAAUGCGUAGAGAUCGGAAGGAACACCAGUGGCGAAGGCGGCUACCUGGCCUAAUACUGACACUGAGGCACGAAAGCGUGGGGAGCAAACAGG
This 254-nucleotide ribosomal RNA is filed under the name uncultured bacterium. RNAcentral's name for it is "partial 16S ribosomal RNA". It matches the Rfam family "Bacterial small subunit ribosomal RNA", at positions 524 to 776 of the family's 1533-position model. The record is from RNAcentral.